RNAcentral lists this transfer RNA (81 nucleotides) under Blumeria hordei DH14. Its description in RNAcentral is "tRNA-Ser (GCT) (tRNA-Ser-GCT-2-1)". It matches the Rfam family "tRNA". From Rfam's summary of the family: Transfer RNA (tRNA) molecules are approximately 80 nucleotides in length. Their secondary structure includes four short double-helical elements and three loops (D, anti-codon, and T loops). The record is from RNAcentral. Lineage: Eukaryota; Fungi; Ascomycota; Leotiomycetes; Helotiales; Erysiphaceae.
GGCACUUUGGCGGAGUGGUUAACGCGAUGCCCUGCUAAGGCAUUUCCCUUGGGAGCGUGUGUUCGAAUCACACAGGUGUCG